RNAcentral lists this ribosomal RNA (247 nucleotides) under uncultured Arthrobacter sp. Its description in RNAcentral is "partial 16S ribosomal RNA". It matches the Rfam family "Bacterial small subunit ribosomal RNA", at positions 796 to 1041 of the family's 1533-position model. Lineage: Bacteria; Bacillati; Actinomycetota; Actinomycetes; Micrococcales; Micrococcaceae. The record is from RNAcentral.
CAUGCCGUAAACGUUGGGCACUAGGUGUGGGGGACAUUCCACGUUUUCCGCGCCGUAGCUAACGCAUUAAGUGCCCCGCCUGGGGAGUACGGCCGCAAGGCUAAAACUCAAAGAAAUUGACGGGGGCCCGCACAAGCGGCGGAGCAUGCGGAUUAAUUCGAUGCAACGCGAAGAACCUUACCAAGGCUUGACAUGAACCGGAAAGGCGUAGAAAUACGUCCCCCACUUGUGGUCGGUUUACAGGUGG